UAAAGGGAGUUAUCUUUUGUUUUAAAAAAAAAUCCCUAAACAUGAAACUUUUUUUUUAACCCACAGUAGUCUAGCUUUUACAGCAAAAAGCACAAAGCAUUUAGAAAUAUGAGUUUAAAGGGUUUAAUUUUGCCUGUAAUUAAACUGGAUAAUUCUUUCACAAUAUAUGCGUAUAUGCUGGUUACACUGGAGUGUCUUCAUCCAGUACUAAAAGUAUAAGUGAGUGUCUAUAUAUGUGUGUGUACGCAUAGCUGUAUGUAGGUAUUUUCUACCUAUUCUGUGUAAGUGGCAGAUCAUGAUAUUCUUUCCUUUAGUGAAUCAGGUUUUCAGUCCUGAGGUUACUACUCAGCCCUUUUAUUUAAGACAAUUUCAUACUGAUUUCACUGGUUUUUUUUCACAGAGUUUUGCUCAGUUACAGUCUGAAUAGGAAAUUAAUGGUGUCUUCACAUUUUGGUGUAGAGUUAAUUCUGAGUAACUGUGACUUGUUUGUUGUGGGCUUCAGAGACGUGGAUACCCACACAUUGUCUCACAGUUCUUGAUAUCCAGCAGUCUUUUUGUCCUGUUUGUUGGGAAACCCUUCCAAAUCAUCUUUUUUCAUAUGUCAGCAUACAGUCAGAUUGUACCUCGCUGUGAAUUCCUGGAUCAUUAAGAAGAAUUAAAAAAAAUAAUUCUGAGACCUGAUGGAGACUGUGCCCUGCUUCUGUUUUGUCUGUUUAAUUAUUUUUUUCAGUCUUGAAUCUGCUUUAACGGCAUAGGUGUCUUUAAAAGGUCAGAAGAAUGGCCAUUUGGAAAGGUAAAAAACUGUAUUUAGGCUGUAUCUGUUUAGUUUGUUUUCUGUGACCAAAGGCCUCAAAUUUGUCUUAGCAUUUCCCACACUUAGCUUCAGCAGAGAGCCCCAUGGCCUGUAAUUAAUGAGCUAUGCUAUAAAUGCCACCACUUUGCUCAUGAAACAGUUCUGGUUUUACUUGAUUCUUGACAUUCAGGUGUGCUAGCAUGCUGACGUGUGUUUUACAACAUUUCACUAACUUAGCAUCUCAACUGUGCGUGCUAAAUGGCAAAUACCUUUUCGCAGCUUGGACAAAUACGGCUUAGAAAAAGAUUCUCAAUGGUCUAUCGCAUUUUCUUUGUUAUUAGGUUACUGGGGCUUUUUUAGUCACUUUGAUUGGAAGUUUAAAGAAAUCAUUCUUCUGGUGUUGCAGUUGCUGGAACUCCAUGACAGCAAUUAGACCAAUUCUUCUCUCCGGUUUCGGACAUGGGCACAGUCGUGCCUUCCUCAUGCAGCAAACAGCUCAAUAUUACUAUGCUGUCGAUGAAAAAGCUAGGCAGCUUCUGAAGAGUGCCUGGACUGAUGAAGAGACUUAGGCGUUGCAAUGCCUGAGUAUUUAUGAUGGUUAUGUAUGCAUCCAGCCCUGUGGUAGAACUGACAAUCUGGUGGGGGGUACCUACACUCUACAUACAGCUAGGGGAAGAAGUGAUGCAUUCAAACAGUAUCUGUAAAAAUUCGGGCACUGAAUAGGAACCACUUAGUACAUGUAGUCAUCUGGGCAGUGCUGGUGGGAAGGCAUAGGAGUAGCUGUCACAAUACUUUUUUCACUUGGUUGAAAACCUCAUACUAAACUUCUUUGGGAAGAGUUAUUUUUGCGAACCAAUUUUUAUUUCACUCCUCCACUUCUUUCCCCUCCCUCCAUCUUUUGGUAGUUGUGUGAAGUGUGAAUCUUACAUUCCCACAGCUAUAAUGCCAAUUUGAGUGUCUUCUGUUCUUUCUUUUUCUCUUUAUAAUCCCAACCCUCUGAAAUACGAUUUUAUUAGUGUAUUUAUCAGUGUAAUGCUGAGCCUGAGUAAUAGCAAUGAAUGAUUUCACAGGACAGACUUCUGUACUUUCUUUGGCUGCUCUUCUACAGUUAGCAGACAGGGGAAACUGUGUAACUAGUGAUUUACCAGUAUGGAACUCUCUCUUUAACCUGUUUAAGUGACCUCCCCAGCUUCUCUUUCUCUCUUAGGAUUUCUGUCUCUGGCGGUGUGCAGGCAAGCUGAAGGGGAUGUGGUGCUACUCGUGCAAUGCUCAGCAAACGCUGUACCCCACACUGGUUUCAGAACAAUCCCAAAGCCCUGAAAUUUGAAGGUAGCAGUCACGGAAGUAGAAGCAGUACUUUAAAUAAUGGCAACAAAGUGACAAAAAUGAAUUUUCCUAGAGGAGUACUAAAAAAAUCUACAGAUCUGUCAAAUUACCAUUGCCUUUCAUACUGAAAGAAGAAAUCAGGCUUAAGACUCCCGAUUUAUGUUGCUUCUGAAUAACAUUUCUUGUCUGACUUUGGAUCCAAGAAGAUAACCCUGAAGGAUGUGAAGAGGUACGCUGAAUGAGCACAUUUCUCAAGCACACAUUCACACUGCUUUUCAAGCAGUUUCAGGUUCUUUUCCCUUGUUUCUGGUGGAGGAAGAGAACAGUGGCAGGGGUUGUCUGUGCUGGGUUUGUAGGUCUUGCGCAGUAAUGCAACUUUCACACGUGACUGAUGACCUGAGCAACACUGGGAAGGCUAUUCUUGCACAAUGAGAGAAAAAAUACUGUCUAAUCUCUCACCCCUAAUAAAAAGAAAAUGUUUAUGCAGAAGAAUGGAUUUUCUACCAGAAAGGCUUUAAUGAUCGUGCAUUUAUAUUCUCAAAUUCCCAAUCUCAAGAGGUAAAGUAAUUAUGAUGUCAUUUGUAAUUGCGAUUUUUUUUCUUUACUUGUGUAGAUCUAACACCAAUGAGAUGAGGAUUAGGUGUACUACAGUCUUUCUUUACUGCCUGAUCCUCUUAAAAUGACUAAUAAUAUAUAACACAGGGAACACAUGCAGCUUUCCUCUGUGUUUACUGGCUGUCGCUCUGUCCCUGCUGCUUUGUAGAACAUUUACCAGAAUAAAGGAAGUACCUUACAAACUGGAUAUAUGUCUGACCAGGUCUAGGUGUUUGUUGAUUGUUUUCUUUUGGGGAGAGUAAUAGGCCGGCAAAGCACCUGAAAGGCAGUAUAAAUAACCAUGCUGAAAGGAAAAAGGUCACUGAUUUUUUUUUUUACGUGUACAAGUAGGAUUUUAAUACAGGAUGUUGCAGGGCACAUGCUCCACAACUUGAUAUCUCCAUACAAUUUCAAAAGCUGAACAAGAACACUUACCUUUUGCCUAACGCAAAGUUUGUGCAUGUGCAACUUAAGUGGUUUCGGUGGUUACUCUUGACAUGCAUGAGUGCUAAUUAGAGGAUAGCUAAUACAAUAGUUCUUGCCCAAGGGUUUCUAUGAGCUAGUAGUAUCAACUUGUGUGCAAUUAGAAGUAAGCGGAAGCAGACUGCCUGGCUUUCUGCAUUGCACUUGGAAGGGGUUUUGUCCAUAGUGCCAGCACGUCUGGCUCAAGCUUGCUGCUUGUGGGGACUUGCGGUACAAUUAGCACUGAGACCAUAAGAAAGCACCAUUGAAUUGUGCUGCACACAGCACUGCCCCCAGCUCAUACCUUUAGUUAUCUGAUUGAUAACUUGGCUGCAAAACCAAAUUCAGUUACCUAGGAUGCUGGCAGUACUCGCGGCUAGAUCAGCUUAUGCCGGAUGUGGAGGGUGCAUGGUUUAUUGUUCUGUUAGGACUGUGCUGGCUCAUCAUGGGACCAGAGGUAGCUCAAUCCUACAAGGUUGUUAAUGAGCUCAGACUAAGAGGGGAUGGAAAAUGAAAAUUUUUGAUUUGUGUAGUUUCAGAUAUUAAGUGCAGAGGAAUUCUGGAGUCUGUCCAGAAGACUAAACGGCUUACCAGAGGCUUAAUAGGCUACCUACAGUUAAACUGGGGUAUUGCCAUGUACUGGUUGGAAACAUAAAAAUCUUGUCUGUGUUCGCUAAAGUCAUCCAUUAUUGUCAUCUUCUCCGAAUAGUGUCUUGAAUAAAAGUAAUCGCUAUUAAAGGAGGAAAACCAACCGAUUACAGUAUUGCAUCUCCCGUUUUCUGUUAGACACAUUUGAGGAGGUAAAGAUGUUAACAGUUAGGUAGAUCAGAGGAUAAUUUAUUUUAAUAUGGACCUUUGGCAAUUAAAGGAGUGACAUACCUCCUUUCAUAGAAGGUGAAGACAUGCCCCAGACUUACUUCCGUCUCCCCUGUCAGCUGAAGCUGGGGUUUCCAUUACAUGUCUGUUAAAUGUCAUAUGGAAGAGGUGCCGUGUCCUGCUGUAUGGAAACACAGCUGUUUGUUCCCUAUGUAGAAAAUUGGGUGGAGAUCAGAGAGGAUGAGACCUGCUGGGCGUGGAAGGAGAGUUCUCAGUGUGAGAGCCAUCUACUACCUAAGGGCUUUGUAGCUGCUAACAUCUGAGAUUUAUAUUAGGAACGAGUAAAUGGUGUUGUGAUGGGAACUUUUUGACAGGUUGGAUAGCCCCCUUCACCACCUGAAUGGUUAGCUCAACUUAUCCAUCAAACCAUGGGGUAACCUCUCUUCAGAGCAAGGUAUGAAUUUCCAGUCAACUUAGCUGACUCCUUAUUAACAAAGCAGAUCUGAAAAACUUUUUCUAAGGAGAGGGGCUGAAACUUGAUCUAUAUUAUCAAAUCUUAUUGAAAAAAUAAGGUAAAGUCUGUUUUAUAAAACAUUGAUAAAAUGCCUACAGAAGACUUUUUUUACCCUGUAUUCAAAGGCAUCAUGAACAUGAUUUUUGGAGACAUAAAUUAACUGAAAGAGACCUUCAGUGAAAGCUGUGGUAGAGUCUAUACUAAUACUUCUAAAACUGCUGUUCAUCUAAGAUCAAUACCACUUAACCCAGAAGUUGCAGAUUUAUUUCAUAAUCAGACACUGAUUAUGCAGGAAGGAGGAUGGUUACCAGUGCAUAGUGCCAGGGAUUAAUCCUGGGCACUGUAGAUUGACUGUGGUACUAUUAAAUUCUUAGGAAGUUCCUUGACAGCUAUGGGUGACAAAUAGAGCUCUCCCAAACUGUUCCUGAGUGAGGGCCAGAGGCUAGCUUGGGCCACGGGCCACGCUCAGUAGGCAGUUUAGAUGGGGCUACCUUGCUUUGGAGGGUAGGAGAGAUCAAGAGUGUAAAUGCAGACUGCUCUGGAUUAAUUGACCUUAUUGCCAGAGGGUGCUCCUGUGCACAUUGAUAUAAUAUUAUUUGAAAACAGCUGACUUUCUGCCAGUUUUCCUUGUGCAACACCAUGGGCUUCACUGGAUUUUGCAGACCUUCUGGGAAGAGACAAGCGUCUCUUCUGACAAGAUGUUUGAGCCAAAUGUAUCUUCACUUUUAUCUUGGAUAAUACUAAUAAUAACAACUAUUGUUAUCAUUAUUAAGCAAUAUGAAUAAACCAUAAUGUAAAUUUU
Molecule: long non-coding RNA, 5307 nt
Organism: Aquila chrysaetos chrysaetos
Lineage: Eukaryota; Metazoa; Chordata; Aves; Accipitriformes; Accipitridae
Exons: 3
Source: RefSeq, a predicted model, not a curated record